Molecule: ribosomal RNA, 632 nt
Filed under: Fusarium sp. F-267,619
Lineage: Eukaryota; Fungi; Ascomycota; Sordariomycetes; Hypocreales; Nectriaceae
Description: eukaryotic LSU rRNA
Rfam family: Eukaryotic large subunit ribosomal RNA
Source: RNAcentral
GGUUGACCUCGGAUCAGGUAGGAAUACCCGCUGAACUUAAGCAUAUCAAUAAGCGGAGGAAAAGAAACCAACAGGGAUUGCCCUAGUAACGGCGAGUGAAGCGGCAACAGCUCAAAUUUGAAAUCUGGCCCCUGGGUCCGAGUUGUAAUUUGUAGAGGAUGCUUUUGGUGCGGUGCCUUCCGAGUUCCCUGGAACGGGACGCCAUAGAGGGUGAGAGCCCCGUCUGGUCGGAUACCAAUCCUCUGUAAAGCUCCUUCGACGAGUCGAGUAGUUUGGGAAUGCUGCUCUAAAUGGGAGGUAUAUGUCUUCUAAAGCUAAAUAUUGGCCAGAGACCGAUAGCGCACAAGUAGAGUGAUCGAAAGAUGAAAAGCACUUUGAAAAGAGGGUUAAACAGUACGUGAAAUUGUUGAAAGGGAAGCGCUUGUGACCAGACUUGGGCCCGGUUAAUCAUCCACCGUUCUCGGUGGUGCACUUGGCCGGCCCAGGCCAGCAUCAGUUCGGCGCGGGGGAUAAAGGCGUCGGGAAUGUGGCUCCCCCGGGAGUGUUAUAGCCCGUCGUGUAAUACCCUGCGCUGGACUGAGGUUCGCGCAUCUGCAAGGAUGCUGGCGUAAUGGUCAUCAGCGACCCGUCUU